This 253-nucleotide unclassified non-coding RNA is filed under the name uncultured Actinomycetes bacterium. RNAcentral's name for it is "uncultured actinobacterium contains 16S-23S intergenic spacer region". It matches the Rfam family "Bacterial small subunit ribosomal RNA", at positions 524 to 776 of the family's 1533-position model. Lineage: Bacteria; Bacillati; Actinomycetota; Actinomycetes. The record is from RNAcentral.
GACGUAGGGCGCGAGCGUUGUCCGGAUUUAUUGGGCGUAAAGAGCUCGUAGGCGGCUUGUCGCGUCAAUCGUGAAAUCCUGCAGCUUAACUGUGGGCGUGCGGUUGAUACGGGCAGGCUAGAGUUCGGUAGGGGAGACUGGAAUUCCUGGUGUAGCGGUGAAAUGCGCAGAUAUCAGGAGGAACACCGGUGGCGAAGGCGGGUCUCUGGGCCGAUACUGACACUGAGGUGCGAAAGUGUGGGGAGCAAACAGG